Molecule: long non-coding RNA, 290 nt
Filed under: Volvox carteri
Lineage: Eukaryota; Viridiplantae; Chlorophyta; Chlorophyceae; Chlamydomonadales; Volvocaceae
Description: long non-coding RNA (VCAR_LNC004076)
Source: RNAcentral
CCGAUGCUAUUUGGGGGGUUAACUGGCAUAAUGCAGUUCGGGGGUUUGCAUGGACCGUUGCUAUUUGGGGGGUUACCUGGCAUAAUUUGUUUCGGGGGGUUUGCCUGGACCUAUGCUAAUUGGGGGGUGACCUGACAUAAUGUGGUUCGGUGGGUUUGCAUGGAACGAUGCGAUUCGAGGGGUUACCCGGCGCAAAGUGGUUCGGGGGGUUUGCAUGGACCGAUCCUUUUUUGGGGGUUAUCUGGCAUAAUUUGUUUCGGGGGAUUUGCCUGGACCUAUGCUAAUUGGGG